GGUGAGAUGUCCGAGAGGCUGAAGGAGCACGCCUGGAAAGUGUGUAUACGGCAACGUAUCGAGGGUUCGAAUCCCUCUCUCACCG
Non-coding RNA from Proteus mirabilis, 85 nucleotides. The record is from Rfam. NCBI's taxonomy places the organism in Bacteria, Pseudomonadati, Pseudomonadota, Gammaproteobacteria, Enterobacterales, Morganellaceae.